Molecule: ribosomal RNA, 253 nt
Filed under: uncultured bacterium
Lineage: Bacteria
Description: partial 16S ribosomal RNA
Rfam family: Archaeal small subunit ribosomal RNA
Source: RNAcentral
UACCAGCACCCCGAGUGGUCGGGACGAUUAUUGGGCCUAAAGCAUCCGUAGCCGGCCUUACAAGUCCUCCGUUAAAUCCAGCUGCUUAACAGAUGGGCUGCGGAGGAUACUAUAAGACUAGGAGGCAGGAGAGGCAAGCGGUACUCAGUGGGUAGGGGUAAAAUUCGUUGAUCCAUUGAAGACCACCAGUGGCGAAGGCGGCUUGCCAGAAUGCGCUCGACGGUGAGGGAUGAAAGCUGGGGGAGCAAACCGG